This 390-nucleotide ribosomal RNA is filed under the name uncultured bacterium. RNAcentral describes it as "bacterial SSU rRNA". It matches the Rfam family "Bacterial small subunit ribosomal RNA", at positions 30 to 418 of the family's 1533-position model. The record is from RNAcentral.
AUUGAACGCUGGCGGCAUGCCUUACACAUGCAAGUCGAACGGCAGCACGGGAGCUUGCUCCUGGUGGCGAGUGGCGAACGGGUGAGUAAUACAUCGGAACGUACCCUGAAGUGGGGGAUAACGUAGCGAAAGUUACGCUAAUACCGCAUAUUCUGUGAGCAGGAAAGAGGGGGAUCGCAAGACCUCUUGCUUUAGGAGCGGCCGAUGUCGGAUUAGCUAGUUGGUGAGGUAAAGGCUCACCAAGGCGACGAUCCGUAGCGGGUCUGAGAGGAUGAUCCGCCACACUGGGACUGAGACACGGCCCUGACUCCUACGGGAGGCAGCAGUGGGGAAUUUUGGACAAUGGGCGCAAGCCUGAUCCAGCCAUGCCGCGUGAGUGAAGAAGGCCUC